CGAACGGGUGAGUAACGCGUGAGGAACCUGCCUCAAAGAGGGGGACAACAGUUGGAAACGACUGCUAAUACCGCAUAAGCCCACGACCCGGCAUCGGGUAGAGGGAAAAGGAGCAAUCCGCUUUGAGAUGGCCUCGCGUCCGAUUAGCUAGUUGGUGAGGUAACGGCCCACCAAGGCGACGAUCGGUAGCCAGACUGAGAGGUUGAACGGCCACAUUGGGACUGAGACACGGCCCAG
Molecule: ribosomal RNA, 237 nt
Filed under: uncultured bacterium
Lineage: Bacteria
Description: partial 16S ribosomal RNA
Rfam family: Bacterial small subunit ribosomal RNA
Source: RNAcentral